AUACGAACCGGACAAACGUUAUUCGGAAUUAUUGGGCUUAAAGGGUACGUAGGCGGCGCGGUAAGUGAGGUGUGAAAGCCCACGGCUCAACCGUGGAAUUGCGCUUCAUACUGCCGUGCUAGAGGGAGACAGAGGUAAGCGGAACUGAUGGUGGAGCGGUGAAAUGCGUUGAUAUUAUCAGGAACACCGGUGGCGAAAGCGGCUUACUGGGUCUCUUCUGACGCUGAGGCACGAAAGCUAGGGUAGCGAACGGGAUUAGAAACCCCAGUAGUCC
Molecule: ribosomal RNA, 274 nt
Filed under: uncultured bacterium
Lineage: Bacteria
Description: partial 16S ribosomal RNA
Rfam family: Bacterial small subunit ribosomal RNA
Source: RNAcentral